AUACGGAGGAUCCGAGCGUUAUCCGGAUUUAUUGGGUUUAAAGGGUGCGCAGGCGGCCAUUUAAGUCAGCGGUUAAAUCGUGGGGCUCAACCCCAUUCUGCCGUUGAUACUGGGUGGCUUGAUUGCGGUCGAGGUUGGCGGAAUUCGUUGUGUAGCGGUGAAAUGCAUAGAUAUGACGAAGAACACCGAUUGCGUAGGCAGCUGACCAGAUCGCAAAUGACGCACAUUCACGAAAGUGCGGGGAUCGAACAGGAUUAGAUACCCUGGUAGUCCGCACAGUAAACGAUGAAUACUUGUUUUCGGCGAUAUAAUGUCGGAGGCAAAGCGAAAGCGAUAAGUAUUCCACCUGGGGAGUACGCCGGCAACGGGGAAACUCAAAUGAAUUGACGGGG
Molecule: ribosomal RNA, 392 nt
Filed under: uncultured bacterium
Lineage: Bacteria
Description: partial 16S ribosomal RNA
Rfam family: Bacterial small subunit ribosomal RNA
Source: RNAcentral